GUGAGUGUGUGUUGUAAGUGUGUUAUCGAAAUAAUAAAAGAUAAUUAGUUGUAAGUUUGUUUUGCCUUGUGAUAUUAUUCUUGGUGGAAGUUUUCUUUAGCAUUCCCAAUAUUAACUUAUAAUCUUGUUAAGAUUUUUAAAUGUAUACUUUUAAAUUUAAUUUCAAUCCUCCAUACUUUUUU
Molecule: long non-coding RNA, 182 nt
Organism: Melitaea cinxia (Glanville fritillary)
Lineage: Eukaryota; Metazoa; Arthropoda; Insecta; Lepidoptera; Nymphalidae
Exons: 2
Source: RefSeq, a predicted model, not a curated record